GUGGGGAAUCUUAGACAAUGGGGGCAACCCUGAUCUAGCCAUGCCGCGUGAUCGAUGAAGGCCUUAGGGUUGUAAAGAUCUUUCAGCUGGGAAGAUAAUGACGGUACCAGCAGAAGAAGCCCCGGCUAACUCCGUGCCAGCAGCCGCGGUAAUACGGAGGGGGCUAGCGUUGUUCGGAAUUACUGGGCGUAAAGCGCACGUAGGCGGACUGGAAAGUCAGGGGUGAAAUCCCGGGGCUCAACCCCGGAACUGCCUUUGAAACUCCCAGUCUUGAGUUCGAGAGAGGUGAGUGGAAUUCCGAGUGUAGAGGUGAAAUUCGUAGAUAUUCGGAGGAACACCAGUGGCGAAGGCGGCUCACUGGCUCGAUACUGACGCUGAGGUGCGAAAGCGUGGGGAGCAAACAGGAUUAGAAACCCGGGUAGUCC
This 425-nucleotide ribosomal RNA is filed under the name uncultured bacterium. RNAcentral's name for it is "partial 16S ribosomal RNA". It matches the Rfam family "Bacterial small subunit ribosomal RNA", at positions 354 to 796 of the family's 1533-position model. The record is from RNAcentral.